This 228-nucleotide unclassified non-coding RNA is filed under the name Hevea brasiliensis (rubber tree). Lineage: Eukaryota; Viridiplantae; Streptophyta; Magnoliopsida; Malpighiales; Euphorbiaceae. The record is from RNAcentral.
GGAUAUCAAAGGCCACGGUUUCGUCUCCCAUUCAAGCUUGUCUUGUUCUCCAUUCUGUUAGUUGAACAAGCUCAGAAGAAGUUGGGCUUUUCUGGCGCCUCCACCUCACAUCUUACUCCUGCAAUUGUUUACACUCUAUCGUGUACAAGGACUUUUGAUUGCUCUAAAGCUCAAAGGAAUAUCGGGUACUUGCCAGAUGUGUCCCUGCAGGAUGGUGUCACAUUAACA